UGUCGACGGACAGACACACCCUCACGGACGAUGGGAAGGAAGGACAUCGCAGGACGCGAUUCAUCAGGACGAUGAAUAGGAUUAAAGGGAUUAGGGAAAAAUGGGGCGGGUCAAAAAGGCCCCUUUUUUU
This 130-nucleotide small RNA is filed under the name Pseudomonas brassicacearum. The record is from RNAcentral. Lineage: Bacteria; Pseudomonadati; Pseudomonadota; Gammaproteobacteria; Pseudomonadales; Pseudomonadaceae.